AGGUUAAUGAGGCGAACCGGGGGAACUGAAACAUCUAAGUACCCCGAGGAAAAGAAAUCAACCGAGAUUCCCCCAGUAGCGGCGAGCGAACGGGGAGCAGCCCAGAGCCUGAAUCAGUGUGUGUGUUAGUGGAAGCGUCUGGAAAGGCGUGCGAUACAGGGUGACAGCCCCGUACACAAAAAUGCACAUGCUGUGAGCUCGAUGAGUAGGGCGGGACACGUGGUAUCCUGUCUGAAUAUGGGGGGACCAUCCUCCAAGGCUAAAUACUCCUGACUGACCGAUAGUGAACCAGUACCGUGAGGGAAAGGCGAAAAGAACCCCGGCGAGGGGAGUGAAAAAGAACCUGAAACCGUGUACGUACAAGCAGUGGGAGCACGCUUAGGCGUGUGACUGCGUACCUUUUGUAUAAUGGGUCAGCGACUUAUAUUCUGUAGCAAGGUUAACCGAAUAGGGGAGCCGAAGGGAAACCGAGUCUUAACUGGGCGUUAAGUUGCAGGGUAUAGACCCGAAACCCGGUGAUCUAGCCAUGGGCAGGUUGAAGGUUGGGUAACACUAACUGGAGGACCGAACCGACUAAUGUUGAAAAAUUAGCGGAUGACUUGUGGCUGGGGGUGAAAGGCCAAUCAAACCGGGAGAUAGCUGGUUCUCCCCGAAAGCUAUUUAGGUAGCGCCUCGUGAAUUCAUCUCCGGGGGUAGAGCACUGUUUCGGCAAGGGGGUCAUCCCGACUUACCAACCCGAUGCAAACUGCGAAUACCGGAGAAUGUUAUCACGGGAGACACACGGCGGGUGCUAACGUCCGUCGUGAAGAGGGAAACAACCCAGACCGCCAGCUAAGGUCCCAAAGUCAUGGUUAAGUGGGAAACGAUGUGGGAAGGCCCAGACAGCCAGGAUGUUGGCUUAGAAGCAGCCAUCAUUUAAAGAAAGCGUAAUAGCUCACUGGUCGAGUCGGCCUGCGCGGAAGAUGUAACGGGGCUAAACCAUGCACCGAAGCUGCGGCAGCGACGCUGAUGCGUUGUUGGGUAGGGGAGCGUUCUGUAAGCCUGCGAAGGUGUGCUGUGAGGCAUGCUGGAGGUAUCAGAAGUGCGAAUGCUGACAUAAGUAACGAUAAAGCGGGUGAAAAGCCCGCUCGCCGGAAGACCAAGGGUUCCUGUCCAACGUUAAUCGGGGCAGGGUGAGUCGACCCCUAAGGCGAGGCCGAAAGGCGUAGUCGAUGGGAAACAGGUUAAUAUUCCUGUGCUUGGUGUUACUGCGAAGGGGGGACGGAGAAGGCUAUGUUGGCCGGGCGACGGUUGUCCCGGUUUAAGCGUGUAGGCUGGUUUUCCAGGCAAAUCCGGAAAAUCAAGGCUGAGGCGUGAUGACGAGGCACUACGGUGCUGAAGCAACAAAUGCCCUGCUUCCAGGAAAAGCCUCUAAGCAUCAGGUAACAUCAAAUCGUACCCCAAACCGACACAGGUGGUCAGGUAGAGAAUACCAAGGCGCUUGAGAGAACUCGGGUGAAGGAACUAGGCAAAAUGGUGCCGUAACUUCGGGAGAAGGCACGCUGAUAUGUAGGUGAAGUCCCUCGCGGAUGGAGCUGAAAUCAGUCGAAGAUACCAGCUGGCUGCAACUGUUUAUUAAAAACACAGCACUGUGCAAACACGAAAGUGGACGUAUACGGUGUGACGCCUGCCCGGUGCCGGAAGGUUAAUUGAUGGGGUCAGCGCAAGCGAAGCUCUUGAUCGAAGCCCCGGUAAACGGCGGCCGUAACUAUAACGGUCCUAAGGUAGCGAAAUUCCUUGUCGGGUAAGUUCCGACCUGCACGAAUGGCGUAAUGAUGGCCAGGCUGUCUCCACCCGAGACUCAGUGAAAUUGAACUCGCUGUGAAGAUGCAGUGUACCCGCGGCAAGACGGAAAGACCCCGUGAACCUUUACUAUAGCUUGACACUGAACAUUGAGCCUUGAUGUGUAGGAUAGGUGGGAGGCUUUGAAGUGUGGACGCCAGUCUGCAUGGAGCCGACCUUGAAAUACCACCCUUUAAUGUUU
RNAcentral lists this ribosomal RNA (2023 nucleotides) under Escherichia coli. Its description in RNAcentral is "partial 23S ribosomal RNA". It matches the Rfam family "Bacterial large subunit ribosomal RNA", at positions 168 to 2215 of the family's 2925-position model. Lineage: Bacteria; Pseudomonadati; Pseudomonadota; Gammaproteobacteria; Enterobacterales; Enterobacteriaceae. The record is from RNAcentral.